This is a long non-coding RNA of Canis lupus familiaris (dog), 3467 nucleotides long. RefSeq lists it as uncharacterized. NCBI's taxonomy places the organism in Eukaryota, Metazoa, Chordata, Mammalia, Carnivora, Canidae. The record is from RefSeq and is a predicted model, not a curated record. The transcript is spliced from 4 exons.
UGGAGCGCAGGGGCCCCGCCGGUCAAAGUGCACGGUGGCUGGUCCUGGCAGCCCUGGCCCCCUGUGCUUUCGCAGACGGGUGGGUCUGGGGAUGGAGGCCCACACUGCGGCCCCGUCCACUGCUGGGCGUGAUGUCCAUGCACUUGUCCCUGAGCCCGGCUCGGUGUGAGGAAGGCAGGCCCUGCUUCCAAGGGGGUCUGUGGUCUGCCUUCAGCCACUGCAGAGCCCAGGGGCAGAGCUGGAAGCGCCAGUGCUGGUGGCUCAGUGAUGCAAGCCUGCUCUCCUCACAAAGGGGGCACAUCACCUCAGGACCUCAGGGUCUGAGGGCUUCAGAAGCCCAUGGGAUGUGGACCCGGGCUUGUCUGUGUCUCGUCUAUCUUCCUCUCAAGGGUUUUCUUCCUUCUGUGGGGACCACACUCAGCCCGGAGCUCAGGGGCCCCAUCAGCUGCAAACCUGAGGAUGCAGGGCAGCGAGAAGAUGCAGGUGGGCUCCCCUGGGGACUGCCUGGGAUCUCCUCGUGCUUUUCCCUGGUGGGAUCUCAAAAUAAGUCAUUUCCACAGAAAAACAGGACCAAUAAAUUCCUUCACGUGAUAUAUAAAACUGCUCAACACAACAGCCGGAGACGUGGGCUACGCCGUGCCAGGCGCAGGGAAACACCACAGAUUUCCUAAUUAGCAAACCAAGAAUAAAAGUAAUUCAUUGUCUGCAGCCUACCAGGCAUUUUUCUUUUUUGGUUUGACGUGUUCAGUCGUUGUUAAUUAUUUACUGUUACCCUGCAGCCAUAUGUGCCGGGAAAUAAUAUAAAAACAGAAUGAUGGAGCCCAUCCCCCAGCUGUCUUCACGAGCGUCAACGACGGUGGCGUUGGCUGUGAUUUCAAGUGAUGCACAGACGCAGGGUUGGCAAUCCAGAUGCAAGUUAGGAUUUCUAGGCCGAAAUCAUCUAGUUUAGAGAGCUACAAAUUCUGAAUUCGUUCAUUCGUUUAAAAUUGUCCCCUUCAGUUCGAGAUGUUUACGUCAGCUUGCGAGAUUACUGGUAACUCAAGCAGUAAAACGAUGCGGGGCGCACUUACCAGAUGAAACAUGUUGGCUUCGUCCAAAACAAACACCGUGAGCAAACUCAUUUCCCCAAACUAUGUCUUUUCCACAUUCUUCCCCUGGGUGGUGUCUCUGAAUUUCUCACUGGGCUCAAUUCUCCCUUGGAUGGUGUUGCAGUGGGAUCCUGUACCCCUCUGACAUGGAAGGCCUAAGGGAAGCUGAGAGCCUCCUAGUGGCUGACCACAUGGACUUUGGGCCUUGGGGUCAGAGAAGGGAGCCAGAGGAGCACCCCAUCCCCGCUGGGACCACUUGCACUAUUUCCCGGGGUUGGGGCUUGCUAUCUGAGGCUCUGGGACCUCAGCAGUGUGCGCUGUUCAUGGUGUCAAUGGAGUCUCACCUUCAGGUGCAAGUGUUCCUUGCACCAGGACACACUCAGCUCCUCUGAUAAGAUCUAGAAUAAGCUGAGUUCAUUAUGAUGUUUAAAUCUAGAACUUUGGCAGAGUCCAAGGAAACAUUGAACCAAUAAGUAGACUUUUCCCUUUCUUUAAUACCUCAGUCCUAUCCACCAAGUGAGCACCGAAACUCAUCCCCCAUGUGAUUGAUGGAGAAAGAAUCUUUCCAUCUUUCAAGCCCAAGGUAGAACGAUGUGAAAAAGAGCAUGAUCAACGGGAACCUGGAAAUCUUCCCCGCCCCUGCAGAUCUUCCCAAGCAGGGACCAAGCUCUUGACACUUUCCGAUUAAGAUUCCCUGGAAGCUACUACCCCUAGCACAGCACCUGGUUCAGUAGUAAGAUGGUGAAUAUUUACUGAGAAUGGACUUUCAUCGGUUGCUAUGAUCACUUCAGUACUUCUUGAAGGACGUUUACAAACAUGAUCCUUUUACAAUCAAAUGGAAUCAAGAGAGAAAUACAUAUAGUUAGGUAUAACAAAGAAUCCAUGGUUUGGAAGUUGUUGCCCUCAGAGGAAGUGAUAGAAUUGAUCCCCAUGGGGCUCCAUGCGGCAGGUGUUCGGUUUCCUGCUGUGGGUGUUGGUUAUAUGGUUGUAUCCAGUUUGUGAAAUUUUAUCAAGCUGUACUUGUAUAAUUGUACAUUUCCUGUCUUUAUUUUAAAAUUCAACAGAAAGUUCUGCAAAAAUUAAGUGCAUCUAUCUUAGUUGAAGAAUAACAUCUGGAGUCCCUCAGCAGCUACGCUUUUUAGUAGAAAAACAACCGGGAGUUAAGAAAUCAAGUUCUGUCCCAUUUCUUUAACUAAUCGGCUCUGUGACCCAGAUGAGUCUUUAACCUUGGUGAUUAUUCCUGCGUUUCUCAUCAUUAUCACCUAAGGAAUUUGAACUAGAAUAAACUUAAUGCCCAACAUUUCAGCUGCGUCACAAUCCUCGGCCCCCACAUCAGUCUCUAGCUGCUGCUUCGCUUCCGGAGAGAGUCUCAGGAAAGGACUGGAGAUCCCCCCACCCAUCUUCACUUCUCUCCUCUGGUUGAGCCACUUGGUUCAGGCCUUCAUCUGAGCUGCUCUGGCCACAGACACAGACAUCCCCAGAUUCCAGCCCCAGAUGUCCCACUGCCACUCACCAGAGCCACCUGGAUGUCUGAGAACAUUAGACCUCACAUACCAACACCAGGCUCUUGAUUUCUGCUCCAGGAACCUGCUCCUCUGGCAGGCUCCUCAGUGUGUACAAUAUAGUGAUUCAACACUUCCAUACAACAUCUGAAGAUCAUCAAAAGUGAUGAUUUAAUUUCUCCGUGAUGACAUCCCACCAAGCGUCCCAUUCUUAUCAAGAAUAAUUCCAGUGCUCUCAAAGAGUCAGCAAAAGAAACUAUUGAAUGACCACAUGGACCAGUGGAUGGACAAUGACUUCAUGAAUGUAGCACCAAUAGGUAAAACCCCAAGCCAAUGUCCUGUGGAGCUACCAUGAAGAGAGCUGCUUAUUCUUCUUCUUUCCUUCUAAUUAUAUUACCCAAAGCCCACCCUGGGAGAGAGUCGAGGUAACACAGGAUGUGCAAUCAGAGCAGAACGAAGCAGGCAAAGGUGCCAGGUUUGCCCUGUGAAUGAGACAAUGAGUAAACCAAGAUAUCACUCCUGUAGCACCGGGAAGGAUGGACAGCGAGCCCUUCUGUCUGCCCCCAGCCUCAGGGGGACCAGCCAUCAUCUGAGCCAUGACCAGAGCUUGUUAUUCCUGGGGGAAGCUGAAGUCUGAAAAGAUGUAGGGAUUUUGCUAAGAAUGCCCUUCCUGCUUGGGCAGCUGUGGGAGGGAGAGCCCACAUGGAACUUUCUCAUACAUUCCUUUACCAGCUUGCAUCCUGUUCUUGCCCUUUAUCCCUUGCCUCCUCCCUGAAUUUCACAGGGGAGGGAUGUAGGGUAGAGGAGCCUCUCCAGCACUGGGGGGAAGGUUUGAGGCCAACAGCAAGAUCUCUUGCAACCCUGCUUAGAAAUUUCA